Molecule: ribosomal RNA, 423 nt
Filed under: uncultured bacterium
Lineage: Bacteria
Description: bacterial SSU rRNA
Rfam family: Bacterial small subunit ribosomal RNA
Source: RNAcentral
GGAAUCUUCGGCAAUGGGGGCAACCCUGACCGAGCAACGCCGCGUGAGUGAAGAAGGCUUUCGGAGCGUAAAACUCUGUUGUUAGAGAAGAACAAGGAUGAGAGUAACUGUUCAUCCCUUGACGGUAUCUAACCAGAAAGCCACGGCUAACUACGUGCCAGCAGCCGCGGUAAUACGUAGGUGGCAAGCGUUGUCCGGAUUUAUUGGGCGUAAAGCGAGCGCAGGCGGUUUAAUAAGUCUGAAGUUAAAGGCAGUGGCUUAACCAUUGUUCGCUUUGGAAACUGUUAGACUUGAGUGCAGAAGGGGAGAGUGGAAUUCCAUGUGUAGCGGGGAAAUGCGUAGAUAUAUGGAGGAACACCGGUGGCGAAAGCGGCUCUCUGGUCUGUAACUGACGCUGAGGCUCGAAAGCGUGGGGAGCAAACA